RNAcentral lists this small RNA (597 nucleotides) under Pan troglodytes (chimpanzee). RNAcentral's name for it is "processed transcript". The record is from RNAcentral. Lineage: Eukaryota; Metazoa; Chordata; Mammalia; Primates; Hominidae.
CUCGAUGUCGUGUUUGCCUCUUCCUCUAAGUGCGGAAAGGAUAAGACCAAGUCUGUUUCUUCCACCAUCUUCUUCCACUGUGACCCUCUGGUGGAGGACGGGAUCCCCGAGUUCAGUCACGAGACUGCCGACUGCCAGUACCUCUUCUCUUGGUACACCUCAGCCGUGUGUCCUCUGGGGGUGGGCUUUGACAGCGAGAAUCCUGGGGACGACGGGCAGAUGCACAAGGGGCUGUCAGAGCGGAGCCAGGCAGUCGGCGCGGUGCUCAGCCUGCUGCUGGUGGCGCUCACCUGCUGCCUGCUGGCCCUGUUGCUCUACAAGAAGGAGAGGAGGGAAACAGUGAUAAGUAAGCUGACCACUUGCUGUAGGAGAAGUUCCAACGUGUCCUACAAAUACUCAAAGGUCAAAUUCUCUAAGUUAACCUUAGCAUUGAUGCUGCUGAAAUACUGGAGCCAUUGAACUGGCACUUCUGACCUGUUCCUACACUAUCCUCCCACCUUUGGGUGCUGAGACGCCUUCCUGCAGCGCCGCCUCUGGAAGCUUGAAGUCACUUUCCUGUGUCCCAGCAUUUCUCUACAAAUAAAUUGUUCUUAGUGA